Molecule: ribosomal RNA, 497 nt
Filed under: uncultured bacterium
Lineage: Bacteria
Description: partial 16S ribosomal RNA
Rfam family: Bacterial small subunit ribosomal RNA
Source: RNAcentral
GAUGAACGCUGGCGGCGUGCUUAAUACAUGCAAGUCGAGCGAACAGACGAGGAGCUUGCUCCUCUGACGUUAGCGGCGGACGGGUGAGUAACACGUGGAUAACCUACCUAUAAGACUGGGAUAACUUCGGGAAACCGGAGCUAAUACCGGAUAAUAUAUUGAACCGCAUGGUUCAAUAGUGAAAUACGGUUUUGCUGUCACUUAUAGAUGGAUCCGCGCCGCAUUAGCUAGUUGGUAAGGUAACGGCUUACCAAGGCAACGAUGCGUAGCCGACCUGAGAGGGUGAUAGGCCACACUGGAACUGAGACACGGUCCAGACUCCUACGGGAGGCAGCAGUAGGGAAUCUUCCGCAAUGGGCGAAAGCAUGACGGAGCAACGGCGCGUGAGUGAUGAAGGUCUUCGGAUCGUAAAAAUCUGUUAUUAGGGAAGAACAAAUGUGUAAGUAACUAUGCACGUCUUGACGGUACCUAAUCAGAAAGCAACGGCUAACUACGUG